CUUUUACAAUGUAGUUAAUACCUGCCAUACAUUGAGAGCAACUACACAAAGAUGAUGACACUGGCGGUAUAUGAAAUCUUUGGCCAAAGAUCAUCAUAAAACUUUCCAAUUAGAUCAACAAAAUAAAAUAAAAUAUCUAGAGCUAAAUCUAGUGAAAAAAAAAAUUAAUGGAUAAAAUAUUAACAUGGAAAGCAAUAUCAAUACCACUACUCUAGUAGAACAUGAAUUUGUAGAUGCAAACAGUUAGACAAAUGACCACAGGAGAAGGGUUUUCUAAUAGGGGUGGGCACAGGCCAGGUUGGGCCCAAAUUUGUAGGAACUGGACUUGACCCAUUUUAAAAUGCAACGGGGCAGGCCAAGCCGGGUAUAUGAAUUUUGAGAUUUGGAACCGGACCUAACCCGGCCCGUUUUAAACGGACCGAUUCGGGCUGAGUCCACGGGUCCAAUUUACUUUUCUUUUUUUUUAUAUAAGAAUAGGUUGUUUGGAUUGUGUAUAGAAAAUCUGUAUCAUCUACUUUAUAAAUAUUUGCUCGAGUACAGACUAUUGCAUUAAAAGAGAAAUUACAGGCUAACUUAGCGACUAUAUAAAUCAUUUGAACAUAUAGAAUAACAGCCUUCUCCCAGUUCUCAUCAAGUUCUAAACAAUGAGAAAGGCUCUGCUGUUAGUACAAGGCGUUCACAGCCUUCUCCCUGUUCUCAGAGGGGUGAAAUACAUAUUUCCUUGCCAAUAGUUACAAAUAAAAGCUUAUAAAGAGGAGUUUACAUUCAAAUCCAAUUUGCAUGAAAUGGUCAUAGUUAAAACUUAAAAGGGAUUUUGAAUACCUACUCCUGAUCAUAUUGCAUCUCAACGUCAAAUUGGGGAUUUCGAAUCGAUUAAAUUUCAGAACUUGAAUCAAGUGGACUUGCAUAUUAUCAGAGAUUGUUGGUCCACAAUGAAACUAAAUGCGGCUGUGUAACUUAAUUGACUGGAAUUACAAAAUUCUCCACUAAAUUUUCUCAUCGACCAACAAUUAUCUAAUUACAUUACUUGGAUUUACAGAAACGUUCCACCAAUCAACCAAACAUAAUCUAAAUAAAAAUACCAAAAUCUGAAACAGAAGAUUCAAAUAUAUACAAGGCGGAAACUAUCACAGGACACACAUAUAUUCAAAUUCAAUUUAAUUCAACAGAAGAUUCAAAUUCAAUUCACCUAAGAUUUGAAAUUCGAACAGAACAGAGGUCAAGAUUCAAGAACCCAACAAAAUCCCUAAAUCUAGUGCACCAUUAAUAUCUCCCGUUCGAGCACAACAAUUUUGGUUAUGUUAAUCAGAGCAUCAGCAUGUGCGGCUUUCAUUCGGUAAUCUUAGGAAGGCAAAUUUAUGAACCUUCCAAUUCAUAUAAGGCAAAUUUAUAGAUUUGGUUUGGGGUUUUCUUGAAAUCCCAUAUGAUUACUGAAUGCAGAGACUCAGAGAUUGCUGAGUCAAAAAGGGCAUAUAUCUAGAAAACCCUAAAUCCCUAAAUCUAAAAAAUUAAUCAGAGAGAAUCAGAGAUUGCAGAAUGCAGAGACUCCAAAGAGUAAAGAUUUAAGAAAAUAUACUACCUUAAUUUGGGAGGACAUGAGAUGAAGGUGGUCAAUUUCGAUUUGCAGGAUGAUGGUGGUGUUCCAGAUGGCGAUGAUGGGGUAGUCGCGAUUGGGACGAGGCGGCGGUGAUGUGGUUGGUGAUGGUGGUCGUACCUCGCAAGUCGCCAGAGAGGGAGAGACAGAGAUGGAGAAUUGGCGAUGGCUGCUGUCAAGGAGGAGAGGAAGGUUUCUGUCUGAGAUGAGACUCGGUAAGGAAAAAAAUCCAAUCGAAUGGUGGAGAAGUGUGGAGCUGCG
Molecule: long non-coding RNA, 1855 nt
Filed under: Malus domestica (apple)
Lineage: Eukaryota; Viridiplantae; Streptophyta; Magnoliopsida; Rosales; Rosaceae
Description: long non-coding RNA (MDOM_LNC016968)
Source: RNAcentral